AUAGAGGAGCCGAUUCUUUAUAUUAAGAUGCAGAUUGCCCUGUUUAAGCUUGAGCAAGGGGAUCAAAAAGAGUGCCAGAAACUUUUAGAUGAAGGGAAGACUGCACUUGACAGUAUGACUGACAUUGAUCCAUCUGUUUAUGCGAGCUAUUAUUGGGUUUCAUCUCAGUAUCAUAAAGCUCGCCAGGACUUCGCUGAGUUCUACAAGAGUUCUCUUCUUUAUCUUGCUUACACUUCAGUGGAAUCUCUUUCUGAAUCAUUUAAGCUGGUACUUUGUCAUUUCUUGUUUUGUCGACCUACCCUUCCUACUACACUUGACAGUAUGACUGACAUUGAUCCAUCUGUUUAUGCGAGCUAUUAUUGGGUUUCAUCUCAGUAUCAUAAAGCUCGCCAGGAAUUCGCCGAGUUCUACAAGAGUUCU
Molecule: long non-coding RNA, 420 nt
Filed under: Nicotiana benthamiana
Lineage: Eukaryota; Viridiplantae; Streptophyta; Magnoliopsida; Solanales; Solanaceae
Description: long non-coding RNA (NBEN_LNC011746)
Source: RNAcentral